CGUUGAAACGCCAGUUUUCGUACGAUCACUGAAGUUAAGCAACGUUGACCCUGAUCAGUACUUAAAUGGGUGAUCGCUUGGGAAUACCAGAUG
Non-coding RNA from Acanthosepion pharaonis, 93 nucleotides. The record is from the annotation of a GenBank genome assembly. Lineage: Eukaryota; Metazoa; Mollusca; Cephalopoda; Sepiida; Sepiidae.